Molecule: ribosomal RNA, 253 nt
Filed under: uncultured bacterium
Lineage: Bacteria
Description: partial 16S ribosomal RNA
Rfam family: Bacterial small subunit ribosomal RNA
Source: RNAcentral
UACGUAGGGGGCAAGCGUUGUCCGGAUUCAUUGGGCGUAGAGAGCGUGUAGGCGGCCAGGUAGGUCGGUUGUGAAAACUGGAGGCUCAACCUUCAGAGGUCGACCGAAACCAUCUGGCUAGAGUCCGGGAGAGGAGAGUGGAAUUCCUGGUGUAGCGGUGAAAUGCGCAGAUAUCAGGAGGAACACCGGUGGCGAAGGCGGCUUGCUGGGCCUUACCUGACGCUGAGGAGCGAAAGCGUGGGGAGCGAACAGG